GAUGAACGCUGGCGGCGUGCCUAAUACAUGCAAGUCGAGCGAACGGACGAGAAGCUUGCUUCUCUGAUGUUAGCGGCGGACGGGUGAGUAACACGUGGAUAACCUACCUAUAAUACUGGGAUAACUUCGGGAAACCGGAGCUAAUACCGGAUAAUAUUUUGAACCGCAUGGUUCAAAAGUGAAAGACGGUCUUGCUGUCACUUAUAGCUGGAUCCGCGCUGCAUUAGCUAGUUGGUAAGGUAACGGCUUACCAAGGCAACGAUGCAUAGCCGACCUGAGAGGAUGAGCGGCCAAACUGGAACGGAGACACGGUCCAGACACCUACGGGAGGCAGCAGGGGGGAAGAUUGGAAAAUGGGCGAAAGCCUGAGGCAGCCAUGCCGCGUGGGGGAAGAAGGCCUUCGGUUUGGAAAGCCCUUUUAUGGGGAAAGAAAAGAAGCAAGGUAAUAACCCGCGUUUCUGACGGUACCCAAAGAAAAAGCAACGGCUAACUACGUG
This 497-nucleotide ribosomal RNA is filed under the name uncultured bacterium. RNAcentral describes it as "partial 16S ribosomal RNA". It matches the Rfam family "Bacterial small subunit ribosomal RNA", at positions 28 to 507 of the family's 1533-position model. The record is from RNAcentral.